Molecule: ribosomal RNA, 403 nt
Filed under: Verrucomicrobiota bacterium
Lineage: Bacteria; Pseudomonadati; Verrucomicrobiota
Description: Verrucomicrobia bacterium partial 16S ribosomal RNA
Rfam family: Bacterial small subunit ribosomal RNA
Source: RNAcentral
UGGGGAAUAUUGCACAAUGGGCGCAAGCCUGAUGCAGCAACGCCGCGUGAACGAUGAAGGUCUUCGGAUCGUAAAGUUCUGUUGCAGGGGAAGAUAAUGACGGUACCCUGUGAGGAAGCCCCGGCUAACUACGUGCCAGCAGCCGCGGUAAUACGUAGGGGGCUAGCGUUAUCCGGAUUUACUGGGCGUAAAGGGUGCGUAGGUGGUCUUUCAAGUCGGUGGUUAAAGGCUACGGCUCAACCGUAGUUAGCCUCCGAAACUGGAAGACUUGAGUGCAGGAGAGGAAAGUGGAAUUCCCAGUGUAGCGGUGAAAUGCGUAGAUAUUGGGAGGAACACCAGUAGCGAAGGCGGAUUUCUGGACUGCAACUGACACUGGGGCACGAAAGCGUGGGUAGCAAACAGG